Molecule: ribosomal RNA, 441 nt
Filed under: uncultured bacterium
Lineage: Bacteria
Description: partial 16S ribosomal RNA
Rfam family: Bacterial small subunit ribosomal RNA
Source: RNAcentral
CCUACAGGUGGCAGCAGUGGGGAAUCUUGCACAAUGGGCGAAAGCCUUAUGCAGCGACGCCGCGUGGGCGAAGAAGGCCUUUGGGCCGUAAAGCCCUGUCGGGAGGGAAGAAGGAAGCGACGUUACCUCCCAAGGAAGCCCCGGCAACCUCGGUCCCAGCAGCCGCGGUAACACGUAGGGGCGAGCGUUUUCCGGAAGCAUUGGGCGUAAAGGGUGCGUAGGCGGCCUUUUAAGCGCGGGGUACAAGGCGGGGGUCCACCCACCGUUCGACCCGCGAACUGGAGGGCUAGAGUGUCGGAGAGGGAAGCGGAAUUCCUAGUGUAGCGGUGAAAUGCGUAGAUAUUAGGAGGAACACCAGUGGCGAAGGCGGCUUCCUGGACGAAGACUGACGCUGAGGCACGAAAGCGUGGGGAGCGAACAGGAUUAGAUACCCGUGUAGUC